UGGACUAGAAUGCUUCUGCAACCUUGAGAAAUCAAGGGUUCCUUCGGGACAGAAUGCA
This 58-nucleotide ribosomal RNA is filed under the name uncultured organism. RNAcentral describes it as "partial 16S ribosomal RNA". The record is from RNAcentral.